CCUCCACCUAUACCUACAUCUCCAUCUACCGAACAUCAGACCCCUCCAGCUACCUUGCCGACGCAUGAACAAGAGGACGGGUUAGACUUUGUCAAAACCCUCUUCAAUAGUGGAGGUAUCGACCAUCACUCUUCACUGUAACCCGAUGGUGAUCGGCGACCGUGAGCUUCCAUGUUAUUGUGUUCUGAUACUUGAGACUUUUAUUAUGACUAUGUAUGAGAUAUUGUCUCUUAUUAGUACUAGAUGAUGAGAUGUGUGUUAUUAUGACUAUGGAUGAGACUUUUGUGAUGUAAUUGAUGAGACUAUGGAUGAGACUUUUGUGAUGUA
Molecule: long non-coding RNA, 327 nt
Organism: Zea mays
Lineage: Eukaryota; Viridiplantae; Streptophyta; Magnoliopsida; Poales; Poaceae
Exons: 2
Source: RefSeq, a predicted model, not a curated record